GUCAUCGUCAUCUUGUUGGGUUGCAGUGGAAAUGGAACUUUCUUCCUCAUUAGUCAAUUGGGUGUCUUCUUUACUGACAAACAGAGGCCCCAGUGAAGUGCUUCUGCUACUAAAUCCAAGAAUUUGUACAUUGGAGGAAGAUAAAAGAGGUUUAUGAGUAAAGGGAAUUGAGUAAAUUUUGCAGUGUGAAGAAGAUAACAAGGGGAAUGAUGAUAAGGAGGAAGAGAGCAGUGGGAAUGGCAGCUGAAGCGCCAUUGAAGAGAGUGGAAUAUUUAGUUGAGAUAGAGCAUUUGCUUUGCUUUGCUUGCGGUUAAGACUUGGUAACAGAAUGGAUAACCUUCAAAUGAUUAUGCCUUGUGUUUUUAAAUAUAAAACAUAAGUCUUAUUAAUCGACAUUAGUAUUCUAGAUACGUAUAAUUAGUAUAACUAAAAGUGUUUUAACAAUAAAAAUUCAAUUAACUACAAGUGUUUUAGCAAUGGAUUAGCUUGAAUUACCAAGAAAUUCCUGUAUGUCCUCCCUUUUUUAUCUCACAAAUGUCUUUUACUCCCUCCAUUUCAUAUUAACUUAAGCUUUAAGUCUUUUUCCAUUUUUCAAAUUAACUUAAGUUUCCAAUCUUCAAGACUAUUUUUAAAAUAUUCUUCUAAUUUUACCCUUUAAGUUAGUAUUGGAAUUAGUUAUUAUAAUUAAUGUUUAGUUAUUUUUGACAAUAAUUAAUAAGGGUAAAAAUAGAAAAUUAUGUUCAAUUUUGUGUCCUAACCUACUUUUCUUAAAGGGUGUGAAACACCUCAAAACUUAAGUUAAUAUGGAAUGGAGGGAGUAAUAAGUAUUUGAGAAGUGGAUAGUCUAUUGUGAAUCACCAACCAUAAAAAAAAAUUGUGAUCUUAUUUGAAGUGUUAUAUAGAGGGAUGUAAUGACUAAAUCUUAUUACUUAACACUUAAGAAAGUUCUAAAUCAAUACACUCUCACAUUUAUUCGAAUUGCAGGUCAAUGCUCCUACUGAUGGGAGGAUCAACAAUAAAACAUAUAAUGAAGGAGGCUAACUCAGUAGCAGACAUAUUAGCGGAAUAUGGAAGGAAGACUAUGGAUCCAAAUACGCAUAUGAACAAGUUGUUUGUUUUUGAAGCAUCUCCUUCCUUUACUUUAAAAGUUGAUCUUAAAGGAGAUGAGAAUAGAACUAUAUCGUUUAGAUCGGUUCCUUUUUGUAUGGAUGAACCUAGCUACUAUUAAAUAAAUAAAAUCCUUCCAAUUCCAAAGAGAAAAAAAAGACUAAAUCUUAUGUUUGGAAGAUUGUGUUUAAAACUUUACAUGUGUAAAGCAGUGGAGAUGCAAUUUGAAAUAAGUUAGAAAAUAUUUAAGGAAAGAAAAUGAUUCAUAUAUAGUCUCACAUGACCUAACUUCAAGCUAUCAUAUAUUUCCUUCUAUAUAUUGAGUUGAGAUUUGAGAUAUAUGUCAAAUUAUAUUCGUUAAAAGUGUAGUUUUUAAAAUAUCAAAUCAUUUUGUUAAUUCAAGUUUGAUAUAAAAAGUUAUAAUAAUGGUACGUUUUAACCAAGGAAUGUGCUAUCAAAUGCAAGAUAAUAUUAGGGCGUUGCAUAACUAUCACGCCACAAAAUAUCGGAUUUAAAAAUACAGGAGGCAAUGGUAAAACUUCGUACAAUCAUAGCGCCACAAAAUAACAAAUUCCAAAAUGGAUGGCACGAUGAUGUGUAGGAUCCCAACCCUAGAAACACAGAAAACAAAUAUAUUUAUAGAUAUGUCUAAUAUACAAAUCACAAUAAUAAGUCGGAUACAUAUCACAUUGAAAAUAUCAAAAUUGGAACUCUAAGGUACUCGAAAAUUAUAAAAAAUUUCUAUUCAACAUUCUAACUAGUAUGCAUAUUAGGUUUUGGAAUCAAACUAUAUAUGCUAAAUAACUUGUUAACUAAUUGUGUGAUAUGAUUGACAUGAGAAACUUUUACUAUAUGUGAGUAAUAUCAUAUUAAAUAUAUAGUUAUGAUAUUAAGCACUGGCUAGCUACUCAGCUAGCUAGAACGACACUCAAUGAUUAUUUCUUCAUAUGAUCAUAAUUAACUCAUGAUCAUGAUAUCUACAAAUUAUAAUCUCUAUUCAAUAAAUAAUUAAAUAGAAACCAUUUUAGAAAUAUAUUGGCCUAAUCUCACAAAUUAGGGUUGGACUUUAAAAUCAAUUAGUUACAAUCUAUAACAAAAUUAGACAUUUUAUAAUAGUAAUUUUUUCUUUUAGCGACAAUUGUUUAGCAGAACAAUUAUUUAGCAGCGGUGAAAAUAUAAUACAAAUAUUUAUAAUCAGUAUUCUAUACAUAUAAAUGUCAUUAAAGGUUUUAGCAAUUCUGAAUGCAAUAACACUAAUUCAAUUGUCGCUAAAUAUUUUUACGGCAAUAAAUAUUAUCCCUUUUAUUAUAAUGCAAUGUGUUUAAAUUAUUACAAGUAUUGGUUUGGUUACUUAAUUAGGGAAUCGCAAGCAGUCAAUGAAGGCUCAUUUAGUAGAUAAAGAGAGAAGCUGCAAGCACCUAUUUCUAUCAAAAUGUAAAGCAACAAACGGAACUUGAACUUGAAGAAGCAAGCCUCUAUAAGAGGAAGCUAAUGUAACUAAGCUUUAGUUCUAACUCUAACUAAGACAAUCGAUAUGGUACUAAAAAGGGAGAGGCACCAACAUCUAUCAGAUAACAUUAUUAUUAGCUGAAGAAACAGUGAAAAUAUGCAAAAAGCACUACAAACUUGGUAAAUGCAGUGAGCUUAUACAAGUAGGCAGCCUCGUUAAUAUUGUGGAAAAUUCAAAAGAUAAAAGUAAAUUCACACCUCACCGAAAAGCAUAUCCCGAUUCCUCUUAAGAAGUUCCAACGCCUACAAAAUUUACAACCAUAUAUACAUCAGAAACAGCACAAUCCGAAUUGGGUAAAAGCCAAAAGAAGAAGAAGACUAAACUCGUUUAAUUUGAGAAACGUAUUCAAGCGAUUCAGGAUCCGGGUCAUCGUCAUCUUGUUGGGUUGCAGUGGAAAUGGAACUUUCUUCCUCAUUAGUCAAUUGGGUGUCUUCUUUACUGACAAACAGAGGCCCCAGUGAAGUGCUUCUGCUACUAAAUCCAAGAAUUUGUACAUUGGAGGAAGAUAAAAGAGGUUUAUGAGUAAAGGGAAUUGAGUAAAUUUUGCAGUGUGAAGAAGAUAACAAGGGGAAUGAUGAUAAGGAGGAAGAGAGCAGUGGGAAUGGCAGCUGAAGCGCCAUUGAAGAGAGUGGAAUAUUUAGUUGAGAUAGAGCAUUUGCUUUGCUU
This 3283-nucleotide long non-coding RNA is filed under the name Solanum tuberosum (potato). RNAcentral describes it as "long non-coding RNA (STUB_LNC009508)". Lineage: Eukaryota; Viridiplantae; Streptophyta; Magnoliopsida; Solanales; Solanaceae. The record is from RNAcentral.